This 399-nucleotide ribosomal RNA is filed under the name uncultured bacterium. Its description in RNAcentral is "bacterial SSU rRNA". It matches the Rfam family "Bacterial small subunit ribosomal RNA", at positions 28 to 433 of the family's 1533-position model. The record is from RNAcentral.
GACGAACGCUGGCGGCGUGCUUAACACAUGCAAGUCGAGCGGUAAGGCCCUUUCGGGGUACGACGAGCGGCGAACGGGUGAGUAACACGUGGGUGACCUGCCCUCAGCUCUGGGAUAAGCCUGGGAAACCGGGUCUAAUACUGGAUAUGACUCCAUGACGCAUGUUGUGGGGUGGAAAGCCUUGUGCGGCUGAGGAUGGGCCCGCGGCCUAUCAGCUUGUUGGUGGGGUGAUGGCCUACCAAGGCGACGACGGGUAGCCGGCCUGAGAGGGCGACCGGCCACACUGGGACUGAGACACGGCCCAGACUCCUACGGGAGGCAGCAGUGGGGAAUCUUGCGCAAUGGGCGAAAGCCUGACGCAGCGACGCCGCGUGAGGGAUGACGGCCUGGUGUAACUAC